GGGUUGUGAGGUUAAGCGACUAAGCGUACACGGUGGAUGCCCUGGCAGUCAGAGGCGAUGAAGGACGUGCUAAUCUGCGAUAAGCGUCGGUAAGGUGAUAUGAACCGUUAUAACCGGCGAUUUCCGAAUGGGGAAACCCAGUGUGAUUCGUCACACUAUCAUUAACUGAAUCCAUAGGUUAAUGAGGCGAACCGGGGGAACUGAAACAUCUAAGUACCCCGAGGAAAAGAAAUCAACCGAGAUUCCCCCAGUAGCGGCGAGCGAACGGGGAGCAGCCCAGAGCCUGAAUCAGUGUGUGUGUUAGUGGAAGCGUCUGGAAAGGCGCGCGAUACAGGGUGACAGCCCCGUACACAAAAAUGCACAUAUUGUGAGCUCGAUGAGUAGGGCGGGACACGUGGUAUCCUGUCUGAAUAUGG
This 416-nucleotide ribosomal RNA is filed under the name Escherichia coli. RNAcentral describes it as "partial 23S ribosomal RNA". It matches the Rfam family "Bacterial large subunit ribosomal RNA", at positions 1 to 447 of the family's 2925-position model. Lineage: Bacteria; Pseudomonadati; Pseudomonadota; Gammaproteobacteria; Enterobacterales; Enterobacteriaceae. The record is from RNAcentral.